This 433-nucleotide ribosomal RNA is filed under the name uncultured bacterium. RNAcentral describes it as "partial 16S ribosomal RNA". It matches the Rfam family "Bacterial small subunit ribosomal RNA", at positions 29 to 507 of the family's 1533-position model. The record is from RNAcentral.
AACGAACGCUGGCGGCAUGCCUAACACAUGCAAGUCGAACGAGACCUUCGGGUCUAGUGGCGCACGGGUGCGUAACGCGUGGGAACCUGCCCUUAGGUUCGGAAUAACUCCCCGAAAGGGGUGCUAAUACCGGAUAAUGUCUUCGGACCAAAGAUUUAUCGCCCUUGGAUGGGCCCGCGUUGGAUUAGCUAGUUGGUAGGGUAAAAGCCUACCAAGGCGACGAUCCAUAGCUGGUCUGAGAGGAUGAUCAGCCACACUGGGACUGAGACACGGCCCAGACUCCUACGGGAGGCAGCAGUGGGGAAUAUUGGAAAAUGGGCGAAAGCCUGAUCCAGCUAUGCCGCGUGAGUGAUGAAGGCCUUAGGGUUGUAAAGCUCUUUUACCCGGGAUGAUAAUGACAGUACCGGGAGAAUAAGCACCGGCUAACUCCGUG